GAUGUGGGCAAUGAUGAUCCUGAUGAGAAAGCAACUGGCUGUGGUGUUGCAGGAGAAGUCCGGAAAGGCACAGCAGCAGGCCGCACUGGAGUAAAAACAGGAGGGCCAGGGGGAGUGCUUAAAUGAGGAAUUGGCUUUCCAACCAAUGGUGAUAGUAAAUUUGGAGGUUUGAUCGAGGGGGAAGGGUUCUGAUCUUGUUGCAAAUUCGGAGAAGGAAAUAUAGCGGCUCCAGGGAACAUUGGAAGAGAAGGAGGAGUUUUCUCAGGUUGAGGUGUGGACGCAUCACGAUUUGUGGGAGUGUCAGUCGGAGGAUAUCCAAGAGAAUAUUGCGGUGGAUUAGCCAUUGAAGUUCAAAGUUUUCUUAAUUGAAGAGCAAAAACUUUCAAGAACUCAAAACCAAAUAUGAGAUUUAUAAAAAGCUAUAAACAAUUCAAUCCGAAAAUGACAAGAGAUUCAGAGUAAGGGGUUUGAGACUGCACUUAACUUCAACG
RNAcentral lists this unclassified non-coding RNA (491 nucleotides) under Hevea brasiliensis (rubber tree). The record is from RNAcentral. Lineage: Eukaryota; Viridiplantae; Streptophyta; Magnoliopsida; Malpighiales; Euphorbiaceae.